AAGUCGUAACAAGGUAACCGUAGGUGAACCUGCGGUUGGAUCAUUAAUAAAAUUUAGAGGUUGAGCCCUUAAAAGCUUGGCCUUUAUAAACCCCUGUGAACAAUAUUGCUGUGGGCAACCACAGUCAAUUUUUGAACUUUUACAUCAUGAACUAGUUUUACGUUUGUUAAUAAUAAACAACUUUUGACAACGGAUCUCUAGGCUCUC
RNAcentral lists this unclassified non-coding RNA (207 nucleotides) under fungal sp. RNAcentral describes it as "partial internal transcribed spacer region". The stretch from base 1 to 46 matches the Rfam family "Eukaryotic small subunit ribosomal RNA", at positions 1786 to 1831 of the family's 1831-position model. The record is from RNAcentral. Lineage: Eukaryota; Fungi.